Molecule: long non-coding RNA, 5814 nt
Filed under: Marmota monax (woodchuck)
Lineage: Eukaryota; Metazoa; Chordata; Mammalia; Rodentia; Sciuridae
Source: RNAcentral
UUUUUUUUUUGUGUGUGUGUGUGGUACUGGGGAUUGAACCCAGGGUCUUGGCAAGCACUCUACCAGCUGAGCUAUAUAUCCUCAGCCCCAAAAGUUCUUCUCUUAGUCCAUUUUUUUUUUGUGUGUGUGUAUGUGUUUUCCUUUGUCCAUGGCAUAAAAUAACCACUUUAUUAAUUACUAUUUAGACAAAUAUUCCUCCACAUAAUAACUUACUACGCCAUUUAAAAUAAGAUGUGUAGCUGGGUGUGGUAGACAUGACUUUAAUUCCAGCAACUCAGAAGGCUGAGGCAGGAGGAUUGCAAGUUCAGAUCAGCCUCAUCAACUUAGUGAGACCCUGUCUCAUAAUAAAAAAUUAAAAGGGCUGGGGAUGUAGUUCAGUGGUAAAAGUGCCCUUCGGUCCCUCCAAAAUUGUGUAUACCUUAGGGGGUUCCUGAAAUGGGAGAACACUUGCAAACGUAAAGAAAGUGUUAGAAUCUUUAUUUCUAUCUUUUUUUUAAGCUAAAAAAGGGAGGAGAAAAGCUUUACAAUGAAAUCUUGUGUUACAAGGAACUAUUUUAAAGUUAAAUAUUAUUUGGUUAUAAAAUGGAGCAAAGUACUAAUAUAUGAGUGAACCUUGAAAAUUUAUGUCAGGUGAAGAAAACCCGUCCCAAAAGACGACACAUAGAUUUCAUUUAUAUUAAAUGUUUAGAAUAGAAAAUUCUUGGGAGACAGAAAGUAGAUUAGUUUUUGCCUCAGGCAGGGGGAAGAAGAAUGGGGGGGGGAUAGCUAAAAGAUAUAGGGUCUAUUUUUGUGCUGCUAAAUAUUCCCUAAAAUUUGAUUACAAUAAAAUCUUCAUAAAAUACAGAUUCCUAUUUGGCAUAACUGAACAUAUUAAAACUCAUGAAACUGUACACUUUAAAUGGACCAACUAUACAGCAUAUUCAUUAUAUCCCCAAAAUACAGUUAUGAAAAUAAUUUAAUACACAAUCAAUAUUCUAAUAUUUAAUAUAAAGAUAAUAAUAGGAACGUAUCCUUAACCAAAAACACUUAUUAUAUGUAUGUUAACGUUGAUAGAGAUCAUGACUGAACAAGUUUGGAAACCACUUAUCUAUUAAUAUAUAAAAACCUAGAAUAUUAAAGUUACCUAUUAGCCAGGUGCCGUGGCGCAUGCCUGUAAUCUCAACAGCUUGGGAGGCUGAGGCAGGAGGAUUGUGAGUUCAGCACCAGCCUCAGCAACGGCAAGGUGCUAAGCAACUCAGUGAGAUCCUGUCUCUAAAUAAAAUACAAAACAGGGCUGGGGAUGUGGCUCAGUGGUUGAAUGUCCUUGAGUUCAGUCCCCAGUACCAAAAAAAAAAAAAAAAAAGUUACCCAUUGCUACCAACAAUGGAACACAAACUCUGUGACCUAAAAGAAGAUGCAUUUAUUAUCUCACAUUUUCCCUGAGUCAGGAGUCCUGCUCAAGGUCUCUGACAAGGCCACAGUGUUGGCUAGGCCUAGGUCACUUUCCAAUUCAUGUAGUCCUUGUCAGAAUUCAGUUCCUUGAAAGCCAUUGAAUCAAGGACAUCAGUUCCUGAGUUGCUAAGUGUCCCCUGAAGACUACCUUCAGUUCCUUGGGUCCUGUGUCCCUCCAGUAUGGCUGCCUGAUUCAUCAAAGUGUGCAAAGAGAAAAGGCAGUAGAGAAAUAUCAGUGAUCAUUUUUUAGUUGUUGUUGAACUUUAUUCUGUAUUAAAAACAAAAAUCCUGGAAAGCUUCAUAAAAUACAGAUUCCUAUUUGGCAUAUUAGAUUACAAUGUUAAUGUGUGAUUAUAGUUUAAAAUAUGUAAGUAAAGAAUUGACACAGGCCAGUGCACCACUCCUGUAAUACUGGCAGCUCUGGAGGCUCAUGCAGGAGCAUUGCGAGUUCAAAGUGAGCCUCAGCAACUUAGUAAGGCCCUAAGCAACUCAGGGAGACCCUGACUCAAAAGGACUGGGGAUGUGGCUCAGUGGUUAAGUGCCCCUGGGUUCAAUCCCUGGUGCCGAAAAGAUUUGAUACAAAUGUUUUAAAUUGAAACUGUUAUCACCCUUAAACAGUUUGGAGAUUUUUAACUCAUCAUGUAUAGAAAUUUAAUUUGAGUAUUGAAAUUUAUUUUAUUGAUUAGGAAGAUAGUUUAUUAAUCCAACAUUUAUUGUAAUCAAAUGUAGUUAUUCACUUUAUAAAAUUCUUUUUAAUAUGCUAAUUAACAUUUGCUAGAAACAAAAUAAAAUUCACAUGUUGAUCUUAAAAGAAGAAAAUAAAUAUACCAAUUCCUGGGCUUCCCUGUUUAGAAACAAAAUAAAUUUUACAUGUUGAUAUUAAAAGAUGAAAAAAAAAACACCCCAAUUCCUGGGCUUCCCUUUCAGAAAUUCUGAUUCAGUAGAUUUAGGCAAGAACAGUGUCCUACCAAGAUUUAAUGGUACCUGAGGCAAAAGGAGAAAAAUCAACAAUAUCAAUUCUAUCUUAACAUUUUGGUAUUUCAUUAAUAAUGGGUUGUCUAACAUUGAUUUUUUUAAAAACAUUGCAUUAAAAUAUCACUUAUCUUGAUUGUGGAGUUUUUUUUUUUUGGUCAUUCCUUAAAUUUUGAACCCAAAGUGAUUACCUCACCCACCUAACUUUUCAUUUCUAGCUGUGACUCUAAGUGGGAAGACUGAACAGAAUUACAUCUUUUUUCUUUUAUUUAUUUAUUUGUGAUUUUAGUUGUAGUUGGACACAAUGCCUUUAUUUAUUUAUUUUUUUGUUUUGUUUUUAUGUGGUGCCAAGGAUUGAACCCAGCCCCCUGCACAUGCUAGGCAAGCGCUCUACUGCUGAGCCACAAUCCCAGCUCUUUCUUUUUUCUUUUGAUAUGGAAUGAUCCAACUUUCUCUGGUUUUUCUCUACCAGGGAAUGCGGACUGGGUAAGGUGAGGCCAGCUUUGGCUGAUGGUACUGAAAGAAACCAAGAAGGAGAUGGAGAACAGGGAUGGAUAGCGUUCUGUAUUUCUGAAAUUAUCAGAUAGGAUAUGUAAGGCCCUUAUGUUUUGCUAUAGUCCACCUUGCAUGUCAUUCUAGAAUAUUCUAUUACCUAAACAUCCAGGCUGUUUAGUGUAGCCUUACAAAAUAAAUUGGUCACAACAAAUAGAUAUUUUCAUCAAAAUCAGAAAUUUAAAAAUGCCUAGAAUUAGCUCCAUGCUGACUCUGGCAUGGGGUUACCUGAUUAUGGGGUACCAAUCCAUUAUCAGAGUUUUUGAAAAUGGACCUGGAAGCUAAUUCAUUUUAUGGCAUCACUUAUGUGUCUUUCUUUGGGUUAAUUCAGAAGUUACUCAACAGAAAACUUUUUCUUUCUUCUCUGGUCUCUGCCCACCUCUUGUUUUGGUGUAUCUUGUAUUAGAGAGAUUCCAUAAUUUCUUGGAGUGAAAAAUGCCCAGGCAAUUCAAAACCCUUUAAAAAGUUCUCUUGAAGAAUUUCCUGAAUCAUGGGACUCACCCCACACACCCCUUUCUCCUUAUUUUUCUCUAGCUUCAGUAAAUGAGAGGAAACAUUUGACCCUUCACUUUCUGAGUCUGGCAUAUUCACUUAGUAUGAUGGUCUCCAGUUCCAUUCAUUUACCAGCAAGUGCCAUAAUUUCAUUCUUCUUUAUGACUGAGUAAAACUCCAUUGUGUAUAUGGACCACAUUUUCUUUAUCCAUUCAUCUGUUGAAGAGCAUCUAGGUUGGAUUCAUAGCUUAGCUAUUGUGAGUUUCAAUGCUAUACACAUUGAUGUGCCUAUAUCAUGAUAGUAUGCUGAUUGUAGUUCUUUAGGGUAAAUACCGAGGAGUAGGAUAGCUGGGCCAUGUGGUGGUGCCAUUCCUAGGCUUUUGAGGAAUUUCUGUACUGUUUUCCAAAGUGGUUGUAUUCAUUUGCAAUCCCACCAACAAUAUAUGAGUGCAUCUUUUCCCCCACAUCCUCACCAGCAUUUAUUAUUUGUAUUCUGGCUAAUUGCCAUUCUAACUGGAGAGAAAUGAAAUAUCAAUGUAGGUUUGAUAUACAUUUUCCUGAUUGCUAGGGAUGUUGGACAUUUUUUUUCACAUAUUUUUCUGGCCAUUAGCAUUUAUUCUUUUGAGAAAUGUCAAUUUAGUUCUUUUGCUCAUUUAUUGAGUUAUUAUUAUUAUUUUUUGGUGUUAAGUUUUUGGGGAGAGGGAAGAGGAAUAAAUAAAGGGAAGAAAUGCAGAAUGAAACUGACCAAAUUAUGCUAUGUACACACAUGGAUAUAUCACACUGAAUUUCACCUGUAUGUGUAUCUGUAAAACACUAAUUUAUUUGUUUAUUUAUGAUUAUUUUUUCUUAUCUUCAAGAGACAGUUGAGAUGGGGUGGGGGUCUUGAUGUUAAGGUGAAGCAGGUUAAUAAGGGCCAACCAUCAGCAAACUCAUUCUAUCUGAGCCUGAUGGUGCACGCUGUAAAACACUAAUUUAAAAAGCAAUAAAUAAAUAGAAGGCAGACCAGUAAAAUAGAGGAAAUAGAGGAAUAGAGGAAGUGGAACGGGAGGUGGGAGGAGGUGAGGGAAAGAGGAAGUACUGGGGACUGAUACGAAGCAAAUUAUAUUCCAUGCAUGUAUGAUUAUGUCCGAUGAACCCUGCUAUUAUGUAUAAUAAUAAUGCACUAGUAAAAACAUUGUAAAAAGAAUUUCCUGAAUUAAAUCAGGUCUGCAAAGAAGGAUUUCAUUGGCUUCUCACCACAUUUAGAAUAAAAUCCAAAUUUCCCCAUAGUCUGCAAGACCCUGCUUGAUCUGACUCCUACAUCAUUUUCAAUUUAUAUCAUAUCACUCUUGCCUUGGUCACUCUAUUCCAGCCACACUGACGUCCUUAUUCCUCAGAAGCCACAUCUGUUUCCACUUUAUGUACUUUGUAUUGACUGUGCCCUCUAUAUGGACCACUCUUCCCUUAGAUGAACCGAUUCUCUAAGGCCUUCCUAGAUCCAUCCAGCAGCUUCCCCUGCCAUCUCUAUUAUAUGAACUUGUUUUAUUUCUGGGGUAGCAUUUUCUAUCCUUGACAUUAAUCCAUAUGUUUCUUUGUUUAUUGAUUAUGUAUCUCUUCCACUAGAAUGUAAACCACAUAGAGAAAGGGCUGUUUUACUUACUGCUGUUGCCAUCACAUAGACCAGAACAUACCACAUGGUGGGGACUCAAUAAGUAUUUGUUAAUGAAUGAAUAAAUUUUCAGUUUGUGCACCCUUACUAAUCAAUUACUUAUAUAAUAUAUAUAUUAUGUAAAAUGUGUAUGUAUGGAAUAUAUAUUUACAAUAGAAAAUGCAUAUAUAAUAAUACUUUAUAUAAAAUUAUUUAUAAUAAUACUUUAUAUAAAAUGCUGUAUAUUUAUAUAUAUCCCACAUGUUUUGAGGUUUUCUUGUAAUAUCCCUAAUCUCUUUUUCUGCUUAUCAAUUACCAGAAAAAUGAUGGGCCAUCUUACCCUUGGAUGAUUUGCUUUGGUUAAAGAAUAUCAUGCCAAACUUUAUCUUUUGGUUUUGAGACUUCAAAGCUUUGUGAUUUUUCUAAGUCCUUUUUUCUGGUAAUUUGACUACUAGCCUUAGGCUCCCCUAAUAAUUCCUAUCAUUUGUUGUAUGUCCUGGGGAAAUUGGUCUGCUAAAGUGGAGACAUUUUGAGUCCCAUAUUUAAUCUGAAGAAUUCAUAGAACUUCUUCAUUGUAUGUGAUCAUAUGCCUAUGUUUAUUUUAAUAAAAAUUAUAUUUUAAGUUACUUAUGGGGUGACACAGGCCAUGAAGAUCUGAACCCCCAGCACAUGUGUGCAUGCGCGUGUGCACAUGGACACACACACACACACACUGCUGAAUGCAUGCCUCAAGAUGAUAU